UUCCUCAUAGCUCAGUCAGUAAAGAAUUUGCCUGCAAUGCAGAAGCCCUGGGUUCAAUUUCUCGGUCAGGAAG
This 73-nucleotide transfer RNA is filed under the name Bos taurus (domestic cattle). It matches the Rfam family "tRNA". From Rfam's summary of the family: Transfer RNA (tRNA) molecules are approximately 80 nucleotides in length. Their secondary structure includes four short double-helical elements and three loops (D, anti-codon, and T loops). Further hydrogen bonds mediate the characteristic L-shaped molecular structure. tRNAs have two regions of fundamental functional importance: the anti-codon, which is responsible for specific mRNA codon recognition, and the 3' end, to which the tRNAs corresponding amino acid is attached (by aminoacyl-tRNA synthetases). tRNAs cope with the degeneracy of the genetic code in two manners: having more than one tRNA (with a specific anti-codon) for a particular amino acid; and 'wobble' base-pairing, i.e. permitting non-standard base-pairing at the 3rd anti-codon position. The record is from Rfam by way of RNAcentral. Lineage: Eukaryota; Metazoa; Chordata; Mammalia; Artiodactyla; Bovidae. RNAcentral also lists the same sequence under 4 other names.